This 253-nucleotide ribosomal RNA is filed under the name uncultured bacterium. Its description in RNAcentral is "partial 16S ribosomal RNA". It matches the Rfam family "Bacterial small subunit ribosomal RNA", at positions 524 to 776 of the family's 1533-position model. The record is from RNAcentral.
UACGGGGGGGGCAAGCGUUGUUCGGAAUUACUGGGCGUAAAGGGUUCGUAGGUGGCUUGUUAAGUCAGACGUGAAAUCCCUCGGCUCAACCGGGGAACUGCGUCUGAGACUGAUGAGCUCGAGUGCAGGAGAGGAACGCGGAAUUCCAGGUGUAGCGGUGAAAUGCGUAGAGACCCGGAGGAACACCGGUGGCGAAGGCGGCUUCCUGGUCUGCAACUGACGCUGUGGCGCGAAAGCUAGGGGAGCAAACGGG